CCCCCAUCUCUUGUGAUGAACCCGUUUGCCUCUGAGCUGUCAUGAUUUUGGCUUCAAAGUAAACGCUCUGAAGAAGAAUUGGGAUGGAG
Molecule: small nucleolar RNA, 89 nt
Organism: Lemur catta (Ring-tailed lemur)
Lineage: Eukaryota; Metazoa; Chordata; Mammalia; Primates; Lemuridae
Product: small nucleolar RNA SNORD105
Exons: 1
Source: RefSeq, a predicted model, not a curated record